UGGGAACCCUCCCUAUGGUUCGGAAUAGCUCAGGGAAACUUGGGGUAAUACCGAAUAAGCCCUUCGGGGAAAGAUUUAUCGCCAUUGGAUGGGCCCGCGUCGGAUUAGCUAGUUGGUGGGGUAACGGCCCACCAAGGCAACGAUCCGUAGCUGGUCUGAGAGGAUGAUCAGCCACACUGGGACUGAGACACGGCCCAGACUCCUACGGGAGGCAG
Molecule: ribosomal RNA, 215 nt
Filed under: uncultured bacterium
Lineage: Bacteria
Description: partial 16S ribosomal RNA
Rfam family: Bacterial small subunit ribosomal RNA
Source: RNAcentral